AUUGAACGCUGGCGGCAGGCCUAACACAUGCAAGUCGAGCGAGCGGCGGACGGGUGAGUAAUGUCUGGGAAACUGCCUGAUGGAGGGGGAUAACUACUGGAAACGGUAGCUAAUACCGCAUACCAUCAGAUGUGCCCAGAUGGGAUUGGCUAGUAGGUGGGGUAACGGCUCACCUCGGCGACGAUCCCUAGAUGGGCUAGGAGGAUGACCAGCCACACGGGAACUGUGACACGGUCCAUACUCCUACGGUAGGCCGCAGUGGGGAAUAUUGCCCAAUGGGCGCAAGCCUGAUUCAGCCAUGCCGCGUGUGUGAAGAAGGCCUUCGGGUUGUAAAGCACUUUCAGCGGGGAGGCGUUACCCGCAGAAGAAGCACCGGCUAACUCCGUGCCAGCCGCCGCGGUAAUUC
Molecule: ribosomal RNA, 406 nt
Filed under: uncultured bacterium
Lineage: Bacteria
Description: partial 16S ribosomal RNA
Rfam family: Bacterial small subunit ribosomal RNA
Source: RNAcentral